UACACUAGGAAGCUUGCAAAGCACUAGCCUUUUAAGCUAGAGAAGAGUGUAAACUCCCAGGUGA
RNAcentral lists this transfer RNA (64 nucleotides) under Laudakia stellio stellio. Its description in RNAcentral is "Stellagama stellio stellio tRNA-Lys". Lineage: Eukaryota; Metazoa; Chordata; Lepidosauria; Squamata; Agamidae. The record is from RNAcentral.